Molecule: ribosomal RNA, 322 nt
Filed under: uncultured eukaryote
Lineage: Eukaryota
Description: partial 18S ribosomal RNA
Rfam family: Eukaryotic small subunit ribosomal RNA
Source: RNAcentral
CCCUUAGAUGUUCUGGGCCGCACGCGUGCUACACUGAACGGUUCAAUGGGUAAGGUAGUGCGAAAGCAUGACCUAAUCUCGAAAUCCGUUCGUGCUGGGGAUAGAAGCUUGCAAUUAUCCUUCUUGAACGAGGAAUACCUUGUAAGCGUGAGUCAUCAUCUCACGCUGAAUACGUCCCUGCCCUUUGUACACACCGCCCGUCGCUCCUACCGAUUGGGUGUGCUGGUGAAAUGUUCGGAUCGGCCGUUUGUCGCGGUUUCCGCGGCUCGUGGCUGAGAAGUUCAUUAAACCCUCCCACCUAGAGGAAGGAGAAGUCGUAACA